Molecule: ribosomal RNA, 490 nt
Filed under: uncultured bacterium
Lineage: Bacteria
Description: partial 16S ribosomal RNA
Rfam family: Bacterial small subunit ribosomal RNA
Source: RNAcentral
AUUGAACGCUGGCGGCAGGCCUAACACAUGCAAGUCGAACGGUAACAGGAAACCGCUUGCUGUUUCGCUGACGAGUGGCGGACGGGUGAGUAAUGUCUGGGAAACUGCCUGAUGGAGGGGGAUAACUACUGGAAACGGUAGCUAAUACCGCAUAACGUCGCAAGACCAAAGAGGGGGACCUUCGGGCCUCUUGCCAUCGGAUGUGCCCAGAUGGGAUUCGCUAGUAGGUGGGGUAACGGCUCACCUAGGCGACGAUCCCUAGCUGGUCUGAGAGGAUGACCAGCCACACUGGAACUGAGACACGGUCCAGACUCCUACGGGAGGCAGCAGUGGGGAAUAUUGCACAAUGGGCGCAAGCCUGAUGCAGCCAUGCCGCGUGUAUGAAGAAGGCCUUCGGGUUGUAAAGUACUUUCAGCGGGGAGGAAGGGAGUAAAGUUAAUACCUUUGCUCAUUGACGUUACCCGCAGAAGAAGCACCGGCUAACUCCGUG